GACGAACGCUGGCGGCGUGCUUAACACAUGCAAGUCGAGCGGGGACUUCGGUUCUGGCGGCGGACGGGUGAGUAACGCGUGGGAAUGUGCCCUUCUCUACGGCAUAGCGCUGGGAAACUGGGAGUAAUACCGUAGACGCCCUAUUGGGGAACGAUUUAUAGGAGAAGGAUGAGCCCGCGUUGGAUUAGGUAGUUGGUGGGGUAAUGGCCUACCAAGCCGACGAUCCAUAGCUGGUUUGAGAGGAUGAUCAGCCACACUGGGACUGAGACACGGCCCAGACUCCUACGGGAGGCAGCAGUGGGGAAUAUUGGACAAUGGGCGAAAGCCUGAUCCAGCCAUGCCGCGUGUGUGAAGAAGGUCUUCGGAUUGUAAAGCACUUUAAGUUGGGAGGAAGGGCAGUAAGUUAAUACCUUGCUGUUUUGACGUUACCAACAGAAUAAGCACCGGCUAACUUCGUG
Molecule: ribosomal RNA, 458 nt
Filed under: uncultured bacterium
Lineage: Bacteria
Description: partial 16S ribosomal RNA
Rfam family: Bacterial small subunit ribosomal RNA
Source: RNAcentral